GUCUCCUUCCGGUGUUGUGACCCUGAAGCGCAAUAGCGAGGUAUGAGCGUGGUACAUGCUGUAAGAGCUUGUAUAAGGACGUUUUAGUUUUUUUUAUAUGGUUUAUUCUAUGUUAAUUGCAGAGAGAUAACCCCCUGAUGCAAGAGUGUGAGCGCGUGGACGGUGUGUAAUAUUAUGCAAGUCGCGGACGCCGUGUUUCGCCUAUAGCAACGAGCCGUAUCACGCAGGGUUUUUAUUCCACUCCAUUAUGCAGCGUUUCUAGUCCACUUGUGGGAUUACGGCAGAGAUCUUCCUCUGUGGAGUUCUAUGCAUGUGGACAUCUGAUGUCUAGGCCCUGCUGUUUUGUUUGAUUUAUUUUUUAUAUAAGUUUUAAGCUGAUGGUCAUAUGCUGAUGUUUGUUUUGAAGUUAUUUUUUCAUUUGUUAUUAUUGAUUUUGUCAGCUGUGUCCUGUUUGUACCAACCGCUAGGGGUCUAUAUGGUGCGUGGAGAAAAGGGGAGUUUUGAACCCAUUUUUCUGUAUUCUAGGAGCCAGCCUGUGUGGGAGCACUUUCCUCUGGGGUCAUCUGGGUCCUUCCUCUACUGCAUGUGGCGUGAGGUUAUUCUGCACUGCAUGGAUUGCGCUGGACUAAGGUAUAUUAUACCCACAUGGCAGGGAUGGAUAGACUCAACAGAUAAUCGCAUAUUGCAAGAUAGAGAAGAGAGCCUAGGAUCUUCCGGAUAUUUCUUCUGAUGGUCUUUGGAGAUUGCAUUAAAGUUGCAUUAAAACUCUGACGUCCUCCUUCAUUGCCAUACAAAGUGGGUUGGAACAAAUCUCAUUCUGUAUUUGGAGGAGGAGGAGGAGGAGGAGGAGAAGGAGCAACAAAGGCGAUACCCUCAUGUCCUGCAGUUUUGGGAUAAAAUCCAUCCUUCAUUAUUGUGGGAGAAAUGGCACUGAACAAGACCGUCUUUUUACAAGCAGUUGAUACAUGGUUUAGAUUAUUUUACAUUUUGAACAUUGAGUAUCCCAGGC
Long non-coding RNA from Sinocyclocheilus grahami, 1009 nucleotides. The record is from Ensembl. NCBI's taxonomy places the organism in Eukaryota, Metazoa, Chordata, Actinopteri, Cypriniformes, Cyprinidae.